This 63-nucleotide transfer RNA is filed under the name Marcia recens. RNAcentral describes it as "tRNA-His". The record is from RNAcentral. Lineage: Eukaryota; Metazoa; Mollusca; Bivalvia; Venerida; Veneridae.
GCUAUCCUAGUUUAAAAAAAAUGUUUCUUUGUGGAAGAAAAGAUAACAAAUUGUUGGUUAGUA